GACGAACGCUGGCGGCGGGCUUAACACAUGCAAGUCGAACGGAAAGGCCCUGCUUUUGGGGGGUGCUCGGGUGGCGAACGGGUGAGUAACACGUGGGUAAGCUGCACUUCAGGUUGGGUUAUGCUCAUGACACUUGGGCUAUUACGGGAUAGGAUCUCCUGCUGCUUGGUGGGGGUUGGACAGUUUGGGCGGUUGGAGAGGUACUCGCGUCUGAUCGGCUCGUUGGUGGGGUAGUGUCUGAGCAAGGCUUCGACGGGUAGCUGGCCUGAGAGGAUGACAGGCCACACUGGGACUGAGACACGGCCCAGACUCCUACGGGAGGCAGCAGUGGGGAAUCUUGCGCAAUGGGCGAAAGCCUGACGCAGCCAUGCCGCGUGAAUGAUGAAGGUCUUAGGAUUGUAAAAUUCUUUCACCGGGGACGAUAAUGACGGUACCCGGAGAAGAAGCCCCGGCUAACUUCGUG
Molecule: ribosomal RNA, 463 nt
Filed under: uncultured bacterium
Lineage: Bacteria
Description: partial 16S ribosomal RNA
Rfam family: Bacterial small subunit ribosomal RNA
Source: RNAcentral